AUGGGAAUGAUCAGUUUUUGUCAAGAAGGGAAGCACUGUGCCUCUAGUUUUGCCUUGGAUAAGCUCACCUUUGGAAGUGGAACUAAACUGGAUGUGACCCCAAAUCUUCCUGAUUCAGAACCUUCUGUCUACCAGCUGAAGGCCAGCAAAGGAUCAGACAACCCGACUGCUUGCCUUAUUACUGAUUACUCACCUGGUCCCAUCAAUGUGAGGAUUAACAAAAGAGAUUCAGAACCUGAAUCAAUCAAUGGCUCUGUUGUUGUUGUGAAAGAAGGUGACAAUAAAGAAUCGGCCAGCCUUGGGGUUGUCCGUUGGGGCAAAGAUGACAAGCAAUUUCAUUGCUCUGCUACUUAUAAAGACAAAACCUAUGAAGCUGGAGAAGAGAAGGAUACAUGUUCAGAAAAUAAACUGUCCGGCACUCCAGAUUUUGAAACAGAUGAAAAUCUGAAUCUUCUCUCUCUCACUGUAUUGGGGCUGAGAGUGAUUUUUUUCAAAAGCGUUGCUCUCAACUUGUUACUCACCUACAGUGCGUGGUCAAGAUGAGAAAUGAGAGAAAAAUGGGGACCAUAACUGGAACAUUGUGGAAGAAACACCUACCCCAUUAUUUCUUCACCGGGGAGCAAACAGCAAAAAAGCAGGACUUCUAUAUUUGACUGGACAGAACCAUGCUACAGCUUUCCUGCUUUCCUUCCCAGCUUUUUAUUCCAAAAUCAAACAGCUUCAUUUUUUGAAUGUUUUGUGGUAAAGCCUUUAAAGCACAAAUAUCUAGAAAGCUUAUCAGUCCAAAUUCUUGCACUGUUCUAAUGUAUUAUACUAUCUUCUGAAUAUUAUCUGUCAAAACAUUUACUG
Molecule: non-coding RNA, 849 nt
Organism: Candoia aspera
Lineage: Eukaryota; Metazoa; Chordata; Lepidosauria; Squamata; Candoiidae
Source: the annotation of a RefSeq genome assembly